Lemur catta (Ring-tailed lemur) is the source of this 681-nucleotide long non-coding RNA. RefSeq lists it as uncharacterized. Lineage: Eukaryota; Metazoa; Chordata; Mammalia; Primates; Lemuridae. The transcript has 3 exons. The record is from RefSeq and is a predicted model, not a curated record.
UCACCCCAGGUCACACAGCUUGUGAGGAGCAGCACCACACCAUGAAUCCAGGCAGUCUGGCUCUAAGGAAGAGGACCCAUCUGCAGCUGGGAUCCUCAGAAGCAGGAGUUUGGAGCAGAGAGUUGGCAGAGAGUCUGGGUAUCUGGGGUACUCUGGCUGAACUCAGUCACAUAUGGAGGAGCGAGUGAGCCACAUGAGAUGGAGGGACUGCUUGAGAAUAAAGCCAGUAGAGAGAAAAGCAGAAUUGAGACACGGAGAAAGGCAGAUUCCUAAUGACACUGAGCUCCUGAAUCCGAUGAAGCUCCAUUCCCCAGAAUUUUUCAGUAUCAUGAACCAAUCUAUUCCGGUUCAAACCAGUUUCAGGUGAGUUUCUGUCAAAGGGUUCCUCAACCCCAAAUCCUUCUUUCCUCUGCCAUCACCCCCUGCCUGUUCCUCUCCCCAGUGGCAUACCCGGAUGCCUGCUGUGCGGCACUUGAGCACAGCAUCAGGGACGGUGGCCCGGGGUGGGUCGAUCAUGGAUACAAGUCCGGCAAAGCAGAGGCCACUAGAUGGAAAGUUCAUGGCCUCCACGUCGAAGGCAUAGCCAGGCGGGUAGUCCUUCUCACUCAGAUAGAGCUGGCAGAAGCCUGACCAGAAACAGGGAAGUCAGAGAGGAGUCCUGGGCAGACCCUGCCCUAGCAG